Molecule: ribosomal RNA, 253 nt
Filed under: uncultured bacterium
Lineage: Bacteria
Description: partial 16S ribosomal RNA
Rfam family: Bacterial small subunit ribosomal RNA
Source: RNAcentral
UACAGCGGUCCCAAGCGUUGUUCGGAUUCAUUGGGCGUAAAGGGUGCGUAGGCGGCGCGGUAAGUCGGGUGUGAAAUCUCGGAGCUUAACUCCGAAACUGCAUUCGAUACUGCCGUGCUUGAGGACUGGAGAGGAGACUGGAAUUUACGGUGUAGCGGUGAAAUGCGUAGAUAUCGUAAGGAAGACCAGUGGCGAAGGCGGGUCUCUGGACAGUUCCUGACGCUGAGGCACGAAGGCCAGGGGAGCAAACGGG